UAAGUGCCGCCGCCAUUUUUCUUGCAGAAGGCAAGCCCGAGCCUCCCAUCGCCAAAAGCCACCGUGGCCAGCCCCUGAAGCCAGACUAGACCAUGCCGCAGCUCCUCUGCCUCCUUCCUCUCUCUCUCUUUCUCCUUCUCUGUCGCUUCUCUCUCCCUCCGUCCCGCGGCUCACCUUGCCUGUCUCUCUCUAUUUUGGUUUCACAGGAACACCGACGCCACUGAACGAGCACCAUCGGGACGCCGCCAUGGCCUCCCUUGCUCACCCCGCCGUCCAGAUCAGGCCGGGAACCGCCGCCCCGCCGCCCUCUUGUUCGGUUCCAGCUGCCUGGCCCUGCCGUCGUCAGAGCUCCGAAGCAUGAUGCCAUGGACCUCCCCGUCGCGCAUCCAUGCAAUGGUCGCCCCUCUCCUCCUCACAGGUCCUGGACCCCUGCGCCCCGUCACCGGCAUCCAGCGCCGUCAUGGAUUCGCGCCAAGGGAACCUCGCCGCGCCCCUCCGUCGUUUCUUCCUCGCCGCCGCACUUUUGUUCCAGCGUCGCUCCUCUGUUUCCGUUCGAGUAGAGACGAGCGCUCGCCCGCCUUCGUUGACCACGCGAGGACUCAGCCCGCGGUAGGCCCAGCCUGUUUCCCCUCUAGAGCCGGCCUGCCUUGGCCUCUCCUCCCCGAUCUGGGCUUGGCCCAUGGGUGAGGCCACCCCAAUCGGCUCCUCCUUUUUUUCGUACUGCUGGGCCAGUCAGUUUCAGCCCAGUGGAUGUUUUUUUGGUUCUGCGAAUUUAGCUAUUUUCCAGGGAUUUGCAGAUUUACAGAAAACCCCCUAGCCUUCAUGCAUUUAAUAUCUCACAAACUAAGCAUCACAUGUAAAAACUUUGUAUAUGAAACUUGCUUAGUUUUUCAUCUAGUUUCAUAAUAUGUCUUUUUCAUCCAUGUUUAAAAUGUUUAAAAUGUUGUUUGUUUAAAUUUGCUUUAAUAACUUGCUAAAAUGGUUUAAUUCAUAACUAAAUAACCGUAGCUCCAUUUUAAAUAAACUUUAUUUGUAAUUGGGGUAGGAAAAUGCCUAGUUUAUCAUGGUGUACUCACUUUGCAUGUUUAACAACCCUAAAAUUGUGUUUAGGGCAGAACAGUACCAAACCUAAAAUAUGCACACGAGGAGUUUCCGGACUUGUUGUUUUGUUGUUCCGGCCUCAUUUAAACUUGACUAGAUAGGUAGUUUUACUUUGCUUCACCCUCUUGCCAUCUUUUAACAACAUUUAAUAUUGUGGGGUACAUAAACAAGAUCGAACUAAAUAACUUGAAUGUGGUGUUUCGUCAAUAUGCAAUGGAGUUGCAUAUUGAGCUCCACUUAAUUUCUAGGGUUGUUUGUGCACUUUGCCAUGCCAUGCCUCAUUAAACCGGACAUGCAUCAUACUUGUUUGUGCAUCGUGCCAUGCUUAUGUGAAGUUUGUUUACUAUGUUGGUUGCUUCUUUCUGGUGUUGCUUCUUCGGGUUAGUUCCGAUAACGUCGCCUUUGUGAGGAUUCGUUUGACUACGUCCGUUUGUCUUCUUCAUGGACUCGUUCUUCUUCCUUGCGGGAUCUCAGGCAAGAUGACCAUACCCUCGAAAUCACUUCUAUCUUUGCUUGCUAGUCGCUCGCUCUUUUGCUAUGCCUAUGCUGCGAUACCUAGCACCUGCUUAUCAUGCCUCCCAUAUUGUUGAACCAAGCCUCUAACCACCUUGUCCUAGCAAACCAUUGUUUGGCUAUGUUACUGCUUUGCUCAGCCCCUCUUAUAGCGUUGUUAGUUGCAGGUGAAGAUUGGAGCUUGUUCCAUGUUGGAAUAUGGAUAUUUUGUUGGGAUAUCACAAUAUCUCUUAUUUAAUUAAUGCAUUUAUAUACUUGGUAAAGGGUGGAAGGCUCGGCCUUAUGCCUGGUGUUUUGUUCCACUCUUACCGCCCUAGUUUCUGUCAUAUCGGUGUUAUGUUCCCGGAUUUUGCGUUCCUCACGUGGUUGGGUUAUAAUGGGAACCCCUUGAUAGUUCGCCUUGAAUAAAACUCCUCCAGCAAGGCCCAACAUUGGUUUUACCAUUUGCCACCUAGCCUUUUUCUUUCCCUUGAGUCGGCCGACUCAAGGCUCAUCUUAUUUUAACCCCCCCGGGCCAGUGCUUCUCUAAGUGUUGGUCCAAACUGAGCGAUGUCCGAGGCUACCAAGGGCAAGGCUGGCUUACCCGAUGUCUUGCUCAUCCGGUGUGCCCUAAGAACGAGAUAUGUGCAGCUCCUAUCGGGAUUUGUCGGCACAUCUGGGUGGCUUUGCUGGUCUUGUUUUACCAUUGUCGAAAUGUCUUGUAACCGAGAUUCCGAGCCUGAUCGGGUCUUCCCGCUAGAAGGAAUAUCCUUCGUUGACCGUGAGAGCUUGUGAUGGGCUAAGUUGGGACACCCCUGCAGGGAUUUGAACUUUCGAAAGCCGUGCCCGCGGUUAUGGGCAGAUGGGAAUUUGUUAAUGUCCGAUUGUAGAAAACCUGAAGUCCAUCUUAAUUAAAAUACAUCAACCGCGUGGGUAACCGUGAUGGUCUCUUUCCAGUGGUGUCUGGGAAGUGAACACGGUGUUGGAGUAAUGUUUGACGUAGGUUGUUUUAGGAUCACUUCUUGAUCAUAGUUGUUCGACCGUGCUUUUGCCUUCUCUUCCCGCUCUCUUUUGCGAAUAUGUUAGCCACCAUAUAUGCUAGUCGCUUGCUGCAGCUCCACCUCAUACCUUUACCUUACCCAUAAGCUUAAAUAGUCUUGAUCGCGAGGGUGUGAGAUUGCUGAGUCCCCGUGACUCACAGAUACUUCCAAAACCAGCUUGCAGGUGUCGUUGAACCAUGCAGGUGACGGAACCAAGCUCAAGGAGGAGCUCGAUGAAGACCGUGUUCGUUAUGUUGUUCCGUUUUUCAGUUGAUCAGUAGUGGAGCCCAGUUGGGACGAUCGGGGAUCUGUGUAGCAUUUGGGGUAGUCUUCUUUUAUUUUGGUUCAGUAGUCGGACCUUGAUUGUAUCUGGUUGAUGUAAUGCUUUAUUCAUGUAAUUGUGUGAAGUGGCGAUUGUAAGCCAACUAUGUAUCUCUUUUCCUUAUGUAUUACAUGGGUUGUGUGAAUAUUACCUCACUUGCAACAUUGCUUUAAAUGCGGUUAUGCCUCUAAGUCAUGCUUCGACACAUAGGAGAUAUAGCCGCAUCGAGCGUGUUACAAGUUGGUAUCAGAGCCUUCCCCGACCUUAGGAGCCCCUGCUUGAUCGAAUCGCUGGCGUUAUUGAGUCUAGAAAUGUUUUGAGUCAUUGAGAAUUAUAUAUAUCGGAGAGUUAGGACUUCUUUUUACUCCUCAGUCCCUUCAUCGCUCUGGUGAGGCAUCCUGACGUAGAGUUUUGACUCUUCUCUUCUCAAAUUUCACAAAAAAAAUUUAGGAUCACGCGGGUAUCUUGGAAUCGUUCCGGUGGUUUUGUGACGAGAACAUUGUUCUUGGUGCCUCCUGUCAUUUAGGGGUUGUGGCAGUGUCCCGGGGAGUUGAGCUCCGAGGUGUUGUCGUCACAAUUUUAUCGUUGCAAUUUUGGAAUACCUGAGUUUCGCCGACAUCAAAAUCUCUUUUAUGCAGUUGUUACUGAGAUAACCUCGACGCCACCCAGUACUGGGGCGGGAGUUCGGGAGUAUUGCCAUAACUCGUAUAACGGAUGCUUUUCGAAGGUUGAGGUAAACGAUUUCCGAAGGUUUCUUGGUCAUGUGUUGAAGGAUGGAUACAGCUGGAUGUAGGAUUUGUUAGUUUUGGAUGAGAUAUUAUGCUUCCGCUGUAUCCCCCACACCUGAUUGCAUAACUAGAAAAUUUCGGGAGUUUAUAAGUGGGAAUUCAAGUAGCUCUUAGGAUAUCUUUCCAACAGAUGUAUGAUAUGAAAUUGGGGUUCGACGUCUAGUGGUCCGCCUAUUCACGGUUGGUUUUACAGUGGUCUCGUUGUGUCUUAAAGAGUCCUUGGUUAUGCCGACUCGGGGAUGCUUCAUAUGUCAUGUGCACUGCCUUGUACAUGAUGGUGCUGUACGAUCGAGCCCGUGUAGGCCCCACCACGAAAACUUCGGACGCAAUCUCUAUCAUAUGUUUGUUCCGGCUUAUUUUGCAAGCCAAUCCUUUGUUUGUUUUCGGUUGUGGUAUUCGAGUUGCUUCAAAGUCAAAUAUUGAUUCCAUACCUUUCCUAAGUGGUGUUCUCAUAUUCCUAUGGGAGUACUAGUCCUUCAUGAUAAUCGAGAGUGUCAUGUCAAUUCUUUUCAACCGGCGUGUCUCUCUUCAUGUGGAUCCGUUCAUUUCAACAUCUGCAAGAUCAAGUAUCAGUUCUUCUCAACGGUGUUCAUUUCUUCCGUCUCCAAGUUGCCUUUGUUUUUCCCACCCUCCCACCCCUUUUUCUUCCAGGAACCCGAUGUAUUAAUCAAAUAUCCAUUUUAUUCAUGUGAAGUCUCUCCAUUCUUUUCCUUCAUGUUCUUACCCGGUGAUUCUCAUGAAGAUUCUAACGGAGGUUCAAGUUCGUCACUCUUCACUCGUUUUCUUCUCCGGUGGGUCCUAUUCAAGCUUUGUCGAUCAUAUCCUUUUCCUCGUUUCUAAUGCCUUCUCAUGCUUGUGCACCUCAUAAUAAUUCACUUCUCGCUAUUCAUUUGUUACGGCGUGCUCAAGAUAUCUCAAAAGGCUCGUCUUGUCAUUCAAGAUCUGUUCAACCUAUUUCGAGGUUGUUAUCUCAUUCUAGCCAUUUAAUUCAACCGGUGCAAUCCUCUCUUUUAAAUCAUUUCAACGGUGUUUCUUUUGUGUGGGCCCUAACCCACAGGUCUUUUCCCAGGAUCUUACCUGACUCUUCUAAUUUUUCCGGAGUUAUUCUCAAAUUCUUUUCUAAAGUUUGACGUAAGAAUGAUUUAUCAUUAGUCAAAUGUCUUUCUCCAAGAUCGGUUAAAUUCUUUCAUUGUUGGUUCAACCUUUCCAUUUUCAUCCCGGAGUAUCUCAACAAUUAGGUGGUGUUUCUCAUCGUCAUUCUCAGAUAUUGAAGACCGAAGAAGAGUUUCUCUUUACUCUUGCUCCAUUCUCUUCAAGAUUCAUGGUGCUAGGUUGUUGCCAUCCUCUCAUAAUUAUUUUCGAUGGUGAGAAUCCUUUUCACCCAUUAGGAGAUAUUCAAGGGUAUUUUCAGUUCGAUUAUCCGGAGCCCAUCAUUUCAGAAGACUUGUUCAUUCUCAGCUUUCAGCUCUUGUUCCCCAAAUCUAACUGGUGCAUCAUUCAAUAUUCUUUAAUCAACGCGUGAUCUCUUUGUUCUCAUGUAUCUAAAUCCUAGCAAGUAUUUUCGUUCAUUUGCUAAUUCCUCCCGGUGUUUCUUUAUCUUCUCUUUGUUCAUUUUUAAUUCUUACGGUGGUUCGUUCAAGAUUACUCUUCCUUAUCAAUUCAUUCAUGGUUUCAAUUCUACCGGUGGUUCAUUGAAGACCUUCCUGAAGUUUGCGCUAUAUCUAUAUUAAUCCUUUUUACGAGAAUAAGUAGUAUGCCAAUUCCAUUGCUUGUCAUCAAUUUAAAUUGGUGAAGGAUAAGCAUAAUGUAAUUCUUAUUCUUGUUUCAUCCAUAUGUUAAUCUUUUCUUCCGGAGUUUGUUCGCGAUGAUUAAAUUCUUGGUUUCAAGUGCUCGUAUUUCUUUCCCAGAGUUCCAAGCUCUAAUUAUCACGGAGAUCCAUCUAAAUCAUUACAAGGUGUCACCUUGUGUUUCCGACUUCCCUUUACUUUCGUUAUUCUUUUUUUGUCUACCGGAGUUCUUCAUGAAGGUUCUACAUGUUGGUUCAUCAAGGAUUUAUAUCCCUUCUCCAAGUGUUCAUUGAGAUUCUUUUCUAAGGAGCUCAAGCAUUCUUCAUCUUUCUAUCCGGAGUGCAAUUCUUUCUAUCAUAUCAUUGGAGGUGGUAUUAUGUCAUUUUUGAUAAUUUGAGUUCAUGUCUCAUGAUUCACAUGUUGUCAAGAAUGAGUUAUUUAAAUCCAUCAAUCUCGUCAUUGGAGUUAUCUUGGCUUAUGUUCCACCUAAAGCUUUCCCUAAGGAUUGUUGCUAUUUAUGGUGCCCAUAUAGGACCCAAGUUCUUCUUUCAUCCUUCCGGUGAAAUAAGCUUUCUCGUCUCCUUGUUCAUACCAAUCCAAUUCUUUUUCCCGUGAGUGGCAGGUUGUCACCUCAUAAUUUUGAGAUGUAUUACAUAAGACCAUAUCAAGCUUAUUCUUUUUGUUGUUGGUUUUUCCAACAACUCCGUUCGACCCUUCUCCUAAGGAUGCCUUCUCAAGCUCUUUUGUGGCAUAAGAUGGCAUUUUCGUCUCCAUUCUUUUAUUUCAAUUAUCUAUCUUCUAUUCUUUUGUUCCGGAGCCAAUUUCAUGUUGCUCUUUUCUCUCAUCAUCUUGGAUCGUGUUCUUUUCGUGCUUAUCCAUUCAACCGGAGUGUUUUGUCCUUUUUGUUGAAGUUCUUUUCGCCUUAUCAAGCCUUGCAUCCCUUCUCAACUAGAGUGCUGCUCAAAGUUAUUCUUCCUUGUUCCUCUUUGCUAACGGAGUGUUUUCAGCUUCGUCAUCUCCGUUGUAUUCUUUUCUUGAAAUGGUUUAACCUUUGCAAGGUUCUUUGGUUUCACUCGUUUGUCAAAGGAGCAACUUAGUUUUACCGUUUAUCUUCUUCCUCUGUUUUUCCCUCCGGUGCCAUUCUAGAUCUCAGGACGAGAUCCUCUCGUAAUGGUGGAGUGUUGUGACGCCCCGAGACCAUUGCGCCAGGUGUCUUCCAGUUAUUUUCUGUUGUUGCCCUGUCAUUUUCUUGUGUGUCGCAUCUUGUCAUGUCAUCAUCCGCAUUGCAUCUGCAUGUUUUCAAAACUUGAAUUCGUCCGAGUUCCCCCAGUUCCAUCCGUUGUCCGUUCUGAGCCCAGACACACUCGCACGCGCCCGCGGCACGUCCGAAUAUUAUUUUAUAAGUGGCCGGAAAAUGUUCUCGGAAUGGGUUGAAAGUUGGUGUGCGGUCUUAUUAUACUAUAGAUAGACCGCCCGGUAAAUUUCAUCGCAUUCGGAGUUUGUUUGACGCCCCAACGGAUAACUAUAGCGGCAUUAUAGCCGGUCUAACGUCGGACGUUUUCGGUCUCCGGAAACAGUCGCCGGGCCUCCCUCUCUUCUCUUCUCUUAGCUCGAGACCGUCUACACAGCCCAUGACCUACCGCCAGGUCCAACCUAACCUCUCUCGUCAGCCCGCGGCCCUCCUCGCGCGCGCGCCCGAAAGUUGUCCCAGACCCGACCCGGGGAGUUGUCACCGUUGGACUCAGAUCAUCCCCAAACAUCUACAAAACGUCUCCGUUUUCUUAUUUGUGCUCCCUAGCCUAUUUUUCCCGACCGUCCGAUUACGAUCAGAGGGACCGAGGUAGCCCCUAACCUAAUAUGUGACGUAUAUAUAGUCCACCCUUAGUCUUUUGGACAAACCCUAAAAUCUAGGGACUUUGUCCCGUUGAGCCGCCGCCACCUACCGCAUCUACCUCGGGAUCCCCUUCUCCUCAUUUUUCCUCCACCCACCAACCAGCUCUGUCCACUGCUACUCAUCGAUCCAAAUUUCCCUCGGCCUCCAACCUGUAGACCUUCUGCUCGAUCCAGAUGGGAUCGAGGCUAUGCCCCUCGUCCCCGCGCCCCUGUUUCGCUCGAUCCGGAUCGGGGGCAGCCCAAUUCCGAGCACCUCGCGCCGCCCGACCAUCUUCCCCCCGUCGUCGCCUCCAGCGACCAGGCAUCUGGAUCCACCGCCGCCUACCCUAGGUCACGCCGCCCAAGCAGAGCAACGCGACUCCCCUUCUCUUCUUUUUAUCCUGUGCCCUCCUUCUGCUCUAAGUGCCGCCGCCAUUUUUCUUGCAGGAGCCAAGCCCGAGCCUCCCAUCGCCAAAAGCCACCGUGGCCAUCCGCCGAAGCCAGACUAGAUAGACCAUGCCGCAGCUCCUCUGCCUCCUUCCUCUCUCUCUUUCUCCUUCUCUAUUGCUUCUCUCUCCCUCCGUCCCGCAGCUCACCUUGCCUGUCUCUCUCUAUUUCGGUUUCACAGGAACACCGGCGCCACUGAACGAGCACCAUCGGGACGCCGCCAUGGCCUCCCCUGCUCACCCCGCCGUCCAGAUCAGGCCGGGAACCGCCGCCCUCUCGUUCGGUUCUAGCUGCCUGACCCUGCCGUCGUCAGAGCUCCGAAGCAUGAUGCAAUGGACCUCCCCGUCGCGCCUCCAUGCAAUGGUCGCCCCUCUCCUCCUCACAGGUCCUGGACCCCUACGCCUCGUCACCGGCGUCCAGCGCCGUCAUGGAUUCGCGCCAAGGGAACCUCGCCGCGCCCCUCCGUCGUUUCUUCCUCGCCGC
Molecule: long non-coding RNA, 8332 nt
Filed under: Triticum aestivum (bread wheat)
Lineage: Eukaryota; Viridiplantae; Streptophyta; Magnoliopsida; Poales; Poaceae
Description: long non-coding RNA (TAES_LNC014746)
Source: RNAcentral